Molecule: ribosomal RNA, 485 nt
Filed under: uncultured bacterium
Lineage: Bacteria
Description: partial 16S ribosomal RNA
Rfam family: Bacterial small subunit ribosomal RNA
Source: RNAcentral
ACUCAAAUGAAUUGACGGGGACCCACACAAGCAGUGGAUCAUGCGGUUUAAUUCGAUACUAAACGGGAAAUCUUACCUAGGCUUGACAUCUAGAGAAUCUUGCAGAAAUGUGAGAGUGCCCGUAAGGGAACUCUAAGACAGGCGCUGCAUGGUUGUCGUCAGCUCGUGCCUUGAGGUGUUCGGUUAAGUCCGUUAACGAGCGCAACCCAUAUUGUUAGUUAUUAUGUCUAACAAGACUGCCCGAGUUAAUCGGGAGGAAGGUGUGGAUGACGUCAAAUCAGCAUGGCCCUUAUGCCUAGGGCCACACGCAUGAUACAAUGGUCGGUACAAAGAGUAACGAAGUGGUAACACGGAGUCAAUCUCAAAAGCCGAUCUCAGUCCGGAUUGAGGUCUGAAACUCGACCUCAUGAAGUUGGAAUUGCUAGUAAUCGUGAAUCAGACAUGUCACGGUGAAUAUGUUCCUGGGUCUUGUACACACCGCCCGU